RNAcentral lists this transfer RNA (30 nucleotides) under Cypripedium guttatum. Its description in RNAcentral is "partial tRNA-His". Lineage: Eukaryota; Viridiplantae; Streptophyta; Magnoliopsida; Asparagales; Orchidaceae. RNAcentral also lists the same sequence under 3 other names. The record is from RNAcentral.
GGCGGAUGUAGCCAAGUGGAUCACGGCAGU